Molecule: non-coding RNA, 1692 nt
Organism: Pelobates cultripes (western spadefoot toad)
Lineage: Eukaryota; Metazoa; Chordata; Amphibia; Anura; Pelobatidae
Source: the annotation of a GenBank genome assembly
CUAACAUUUAACCUCACUGAGCAGGGCCUCAAUCCCUCUGUUACUGUCACUAUACCCCACUCCCUCUAUUAUGUAAACUCACUGAGUAGGCCCCUCAAUCCCUCUGUUACUGUGUCACUAUACCCCACUCCCUCUAGCAUGUAAGCUCACUGAGCAGGGCCUCAAUCCCCCUGUUACUGUGUCACUAUACCCCACUCCCUCUAGCAUGUAAUCUAAUUGAGCAGGCCCUCAAUCACUCUGUUACUGUCACUAUACCCCACUCCCUCUAGCAUGUAAACUCACUGAGCAGGCCCUCAAUCCCUCUGUUCCUGUGUCACUAUCCCCCACUCCCUCUAACAUGUUUACUCACUGAGCAGGGCCCUCAAUCACUCUGUUACUGUGUCACUAUACCCCACUCACUCUAGCAUGUAAACUCACUGAGCAGGCCCUCAAUCCCUCUGUUGCUGUGUCACUAUACCCCACUCCCUCUAACAUGUAAGCUCACUGAGCAGGGCCCUCAAUUCCUCUGUUACUGUGUCCCUUUUCCCAACUCCCUCUAGCAUGUAAGCUCACUGAGUAGGGUCCUCAAUCCCUCUGUUACUGUGUCACUAUACCCCACUCCCUCUAGCAUGUAAGCUCACUGAGCACGGCCCUCAAUCCUCUGUUACUGUGUCAAUAUACCCCACUCCCUCUAACAUUUAACCUCACUGAGCAGGGCCUCAAUCCCUCUGUUACUGUCACUAUACCCCACUCCCUCUAUUAUGUAAACUCACUGAGUAGGCCCUCAAUCCCUCUGUUACUGUGUCACUAUACCCCACUCCCUCUAGCAUGUAAGCUCACUGAGCAGGGCCUCAAUCCCCCUGUUACUGUGUCACUAUACCCCACUCCCUCUAGCAUGUAAUCUAAUUGAGCAGGCCCUCAAUCACUCUGUUACUGUCACUAUACCCCACUCCCUCUAGCAUGUAAACUCACUGAGCAGGCCCUCAAUCCCUCUGUUCCUGUGUCACUAUCCCCCACUCCCUCUAACAUGUUUACUCACUGAGCAGGGCCCUCAAUCCCUCUGUUACUGUGUCACUAUACCCCACUCCCUCUAACAUGUAAGCUCACUGAGCAGGGCCCUCAAUUCCUCUGUUACUGUGUCCCUUUUCCCCACUCCCUCUAGCAUGUAAGCUCACUGAGUAGGGUCCUCAAUCCCUCUGUUACUGUGUCACUAUACCCCACUCCCUCUAGAAUGUAAGCUCAUUGAGCAGGGCCCUCAAUCCCUCUGUUCCUGUGUCACUAUACCCCACUCCCUCUAACAUGUUAACUCACUGAGCAGGGCCCUCAAUCCCUCUGUUACUGUGUCACUAUACCCCACUCCCUCUAACAUGUAAACUCACUGAGCAUGGCCAUCAAUCCCUCUGUUACUGUGUCACUAUACCCCACUCCCUCUAGCAUGUAAACUCACUGAGCAGGGCCCUCAAUCCCUCUGUUACUGUGUCACUAUACCCCACUCCCUCUAACAUGUAAACUCACUGAGCAGGGCCUCAAUCCCUCUGUUACUGUGUCACUAUAUCCCACUCCCUCUAACAUGUAAACUCACUGAGCAGGGCCCUCAAUCCCUCUGUUACUGUGUCACUAUACCUCACUCCCUCUAACAUGUAAACUCACUGAGCAGGCCCUCAAUCCCUCUGUUGCUGUGUCACUAUACCCCACUCCCUCUAACAUGUAAGC